CAGUAGCCGCGGGAACACGGAGGGCGCGAGCGUUACCCGGAUUUACUGGGCGUAAAGGGCGUGUAGGCGGCCUGGGGCGUCCAAUGUGAAAGGCCACGGCUCCACCGUGGAGGAGCGUGGGAUACGCUCAGGUUAGAGGGUGGGAGAGGGUGGUGGAAUUCCCGGAGUAGCGGUGAAAUGCGCAGAUACCGGGAGGAACGCCGAUGGCGAAGGCAGCCACCUGGUCCACUUCUGACGCUGAGGCGCGAAAGCGUGGGGAGCAAACCGGAUUAGAUACCCGCGUAGUCCCUGUCUCUUAUAC
Molecule: ribosomal RNA, 301 nt
Filed under: uncultured bacterium
Lineage: Bacteria
Description: partial 16S ribosomal RNA
Rfam family: Bacterial small subunit ribosomal RNA
Source: RNAcentral